GUGCUCGCUUUGGCAGCACAAAUACUCAAACUGGAACAAUACAGAGAAGAUUAGCAUGACCCCUGCACAAGGAUGACAUGCAAAUUUGUGAAGGAUUCCAUAUUUAA
Molecule: small nuclear RNA, 107 nt
Filed under: Carlito syrichta (Philippine tarsier)
Lineage: Eukaryota; Metazoa; Chordata; Mammalia; Primates; Tarsiidae
Source: RNAcentral